This 560-nucleotide long non-coding RNA is filed under the name Equus caballus (horse). Its description in RNAcentral is "lncRNA (ENSECAG00000053743.1)". The record is from RNAcentral. Lineage: Eukaryota; Metazoa; Chordata; Mammalia; Perissodactyla; Equidae.
GUAAUUCAUUUACGAAUAUUUUUAUUACUUACUAUCCUGACAACUUCAAAAGAAUUUUGGACCAACUUACAAUAUGCAGCUUUAUAUAAUAAAUCUGAAAAUAAAAUAACAUAAAGUCGAAGUCUUAGUAAUAAAAAGCAGAGGCAAGGGGUAGGAAUUAAGAAAGGACAAAAGGUGAAUUACCGCUGCCCAGCACCAUAGACGGUUCUGUGAGAUGCACAAAAGAGCUUGAGACCCCCUGGAAGAUAACUGACGACUGGCUGGUCACAGUUAAAUAGAACGACAGAGAUGGGUUCCCAGAGAAGAGCUGCUGAGCUCAGAAGCGAGCGCCUGACAAGAGUUGUGCCGCACGCGGCCACACUGAGUUCCAGAGAGGCUGCUCUUGCGUCUCCCACACAGACGGGUCUGCUGCUCUGGACGGACGCCCACCUCCCUACAGCCUUGUUCUCAUGGAAUAUUACCUCUUCCUUUUUCAUCUUUGCCAAGAGCACAUCAUGUGUCUUAUUUUGCAUUUAUUUGGUCUUUACCGAGAUUGAAAAUAUUUUCAAGUGUUUCCUGGC